CGCUCGCAGUGGCGGGGACGGCAUAUUCGCGGGCGAAUCCUCACGCUGGUCUGGCGGCGGCGGCGGAGGCCGUGGAGACUACUCAGAUCAUGACAACAGAAAUGGUUAUGUUAAACUUUUUGUUGGAACAUUACCGAGAAUAGAAAGUGAAGAUGACGCAAUGGGUCCUUUUGAGGUUAGAUAUGCCGAUGGUGAAAAGAAGCGUCCUG
Molecule: long non-coding RNA, 209 nt
Organism: Lolium rigidum
Lineage: Eukaryota; Viridiplantae; Streptophyta; Magnoliopsida; Poales; Poaceae
Exons: 3
Source: RefSeq, a predicted model, not a curated record